GUGUUAAUCUGCCCCCCCCCCCUCUUUUUCAGGUUGGAGCCUGCUGGAGUCCAGUGGUUGACACCAGGUUUGAUGAAGUAUUCCUGUGAACUCACAAUCGACACCAACACGGUAAACCACAGAAUCCAACUGUCUGACAACAACAGGAAGGGGACACUUGUGGAGGGCUCUGUGUUAUAUCCUGAUCAUCCAGACAGAUUUGACCCCACUGCGCUGCUGUGUAGAGAAGGUCUGACUGGGCGCUGUUACUGGGAGAUUGAGUGGACAGGAGGAGUGUUUAUAUCAGUGAGUUACAGAGGAAUCAGCAGGAAA
Labrus bergylta (ballan wrasse) is the source of this 312-nucleotide non-coding RNA. The record is from RefSeq and is a predicted model, not a curated record. NCBI's taxonomy places the organism in Eukaryota, Metazoa, Chordata, Actinopteri, Labriformes, Labridae.